ACGCUGGCGGCAGGCCUAACACAUGCAAGUCGAGCGGUAGAGAGAAGCUUGCUUCUCUUGAGAGCGGCGGACGGGUGAGUAAUGCCUAGGAAUCUGCCUGGUAGUGGGGGAUAACGUCCGGAAACGGACGCUAAUACCGCAUACGUCCUACGGGAGAAAGCAGGGGACCUUCGGGCCUUGCGCUAUCAGAUGAGCCUAGGUCGGAUUAGCUAGUUGGUGGGGUAAUGGCUCACCAAGGCGACGAUCCGUAACUGGUCUGAGAGGAAGAUCAGUCACACUGGAACUGAGACACGGUCCAGACUCCUACGGGAGGCAGCAGUGGGGAAUAUUGGACAAUGGGCGAAAGCCUGAUCCAGCCAUGCCGCGUGUGUGAAGAAGGUCUUCGGAUUGUAAAGCACUUUAAGGUUGGGAGGAAGGGCAGUAAAUUAAUACUUUGCUGUUUUGACGUUACCCGACAGAAUAAGCACCGGCUAACUCUGUGCCAGCAGCCGCGGGUAAUACAGAGGGUGCAAGCGUUAAUCGGAAUUACUGGGCGUAAAGCGCGCGUAGGUGGUUCGUUAAGUUGGAUGUGAAAUCCCCGGGCUCAACCUGGGAACUGCAUUCAAAACUGACGAGCUAGAGUAUGGGUAGAGGGUGGUGGAAUUUCCUGUGUAGCGGUGAA
Molecule: ribosomal RNA, 661 nt
Filed under: uncultured bacterium
Lineage: Bacteria
Description: bacterial SSU rRNA
Rfam family: Bacterial small subunit ribosomal RNA
Source: RNAcentral